AUUGAACGCUGGCGGAAUGCUUUACACAUGCAAGUCGAGCGGCAGCGCGGGGCAACCUGGCGGCGAGCGGCGAACGGGUGAGUAAUACAUCGGAACGGUGCCCAGACGUGGGGGAUAGCCCGGCGAAAGCCGGAUUAAUACCGCAUGAGAUCUGAGGAUGAAAGCAGGGGACCUUCGGGCCUUGCGCGUUUGGAGCGGCCGAUGGCAGAUUUAGGUAGUUGGUGAGGUAAAGGCUUACCAAGCCUGCGAUCUGUAGCUGGUCUGAGAGGAUGAACGGCCACAUUGGGACUUGAGACACGGCCCAGAUCCUCCUACGGGAGGCAGCAGU
This 328-nucleotide ribosomal RNA is filed under the name Lautropia sp. oral taxon A94. RNAcentral's name for it is "bacterial SSU rRNA". It matches the Rfam family "Bacterial small subunit ribosomal RNA", at positions 30 to 355 of the family's 1533-position model. The record is from RNAcentral. Lineage: Bacteria; Pseudomonadati; Pseudomonadota; Betaproteobacteria; Burkholderiales; Burkholderiaceae.